Molecule: ribosomal RNA, 460 nt
Filed under: uncultured bacterium
Lineage: Bacteria
Description: partial 16S ribosomal RNA
Rfam family: Bacterial small subunit ribosomal RNA
Source: RNAcentral
CCUACGGGUGGCAGCAGUGAGGAAUAUUGGUCAAUGGACGGAAGUCUGAACCAGCCAUGCCGCGUGCAGGAAGACGGCUCUAUGAGUUGUAAACUGCUUUUGUACAAGGGUAAACCUGAAUACGUGUAUUCAGCUGAAAGUACUGUACGACUAAGGAUCGGCUAACUCCGUGCCCGCAGCCGCGGUAAUACGGAGGAUCCAAGCGUUAUCCGGAUUUAUUGGGUUUAAAGGGUGCGUAGGCGGAUUGAUAAGUUAGAGGGGAAAUGUCCGAGCUUAACUCGGGAACUGCCUCUAAUACUGUUGAUCUAGAGAGUAGAUGCGGUAGGCGGAAUGUAUGGUGUAGCGGUGAAAUGCUUAGAGAUCAGACAGAACACCGAUUGCGAAGGCAGCUUACCAAUCUAUAUCUGACGUUGAGGCACGAAAGCGUGGGGAGCAAACAGGAUUAGAUACCCUAGUAGUC